GGAAUAUUGCACAAUGGGCGAAAGCCUGAUGCAGCAACGCCGCGUGAGUGAUGACGGUCUUCGGAUUGUAAAGCUCUGUCUUUGGGGACGAUAAUGACGGUACCCAAGGAGGAAGCCACGGCUAACUACGUGCCAGCAGCCGCGGUAAUACGUAGGUGGCAAGCGUUGUCCGGAUUUACUGGGCGUAAAGGGUGCGUAGGCGGACCUUUAAGUGAGAUGUGAAAUCCCCGAGCUUAACUUGGGGGCUGCAUUUCAAACUGGAGGUCUAGAGUGCAGGGGAGGAGAGUGGAAUUCCUAGUGUAGCGGUGAAACGCGUAGAGAUUAGGAAGAACACCAGUGGCGAAGGCGACUCUCUGGACUGUAACUGACGCUGAGGCACGAAAGCGUGGGGAGCA
Molecule: ribosomal RNA, 395 nt
Filed under: uncultured bacterium
Lineage: Bacteria
Description: bacterial SSU rRNA
Rfam family: Bacterial small subunit ribosomal RNA
Source: RNAcentral